RNAcentral lists this non-coding RNA (109 nucleotides) under Clostridium kluyveri. RNAcentral's name for it is "Azaaromatic sequence". It matches the Rfam family "azaaromatic riboswitch aptamer (yjdF RNA)". The record is from RNAcentral. RNAcentral also lists the same sequence under 1 other name. Lineage: Bacteria; Bacillati; Bacillota; Clostridia; Eubacteriales; Clostridiaceae.
UAAAUUAGAGAUAAAAACACAGUUUUGGUUGGUAGUCCAAACCUGUCUAUAUUCUUAUAGAUGGAAGUAACCUUCCCUCCUGGGGUCGUCCCUUCUCUAUGUCAAAUUU